RNAcentral lists this ribosomal RNA (2906 nucleotides) under Enterobacter asburiae. RNAcentral describes it as "23S ribosomal RNA". It matches the Rfam family "Bacterial large subunit ribosomal RNA". The record is from RNAcentral. Lineage: Bacteria; Pseudomonadati; Pseudomonadota; Gammaproteobacteria; Enterobacterales; Enterobacteriaceae.
GGUUAAGCGACUAAGCGUACACGGUGGAUGCCCUGGCAGUCAGAGGCGAUGAAGGACGUGCUAAUCUGCGAAAAGCGCCGGCGAGGUGAUAUGAACCUUUGACCCGGCGAUGUCCGAAUGGGGAAACCCAGUGCAAUUCGUUGCACUAUCGUUAACUGAAUACAUAGGUUAACGAGGCGAACCGGGGGAACUGAAACAUCUAAGUACCCCGAGGAAAAGAAAUCAACCGAGAUUCCCCCAGUAGCGGCGAGCGAACGGGGAGCAGCCCAGAGUCUGAAUCAGCUUGUGUGUUAGUGGAAGCGUCUGGAAAGUCGCACGGUACAGGGUGACAGUCCCGUACACGAAAGCACACAGGUUGUGAACUCGAAGAGUAGGGCGGGACACGUGGUAUCCUGUCUGAAUAUGGGGGGACCAUCCUCCAAGGCUAAAUACUCCUGACUGACCGAUAGUGAACCAGUACCGUGAGGGAAAGGCGAAAAGAACCCCGGCGAGGGGAGUGAAAAAGAACCUGAAACCGUGUACGUACAAGCAGUGGGAGCACCUUCGUGGUGUGACUGCGUACCUUUUGUAUAAUGGGUCAGCGACUUAUAUUCUGUAGCAAGGUUAACCGUAUAGGGGAGCCGAAGGGAAACCGAGUCUUAACUGGGCGUUAAGUUGCAGGGUAUAGACCCGAAACCCGGUGAUCUAGCCAUGGGCAGGUUGAAGGUUGGGUAACACUAACUGGAGGACCGAACCGACUAAUGUUGAAAAAUUAGCGGAUGACUUGUGGCUGGGGGUGAAAGGCCAAUCAAACCGGGAGAUAGCUGGUUCUCCCCGAAAGCUAUUUAGGUAGCGCCUCGUGAACUCAUCUUCGGGGGUAGAGCACUGUUUCGGCUAGGGGGCCAUCCCGGCUUACCAACCCGAUGCAAACUACGAAUACCGAAGAAUGUUAUCACGGGAGACACACGGCGGGUGCUAACGUCCGUCGUGAAGAGGGAAACAACCCAGACCGCCAGCUAAGGUCCCAAAGUCAUGGUUAAGUGGGAAACGAUGUGGGAAGGCACAGACAGCCAGGAUGUUGGCUUAGAAGCAGCCAUCAUUUAAAGAAAGCGUAAUAGCUCACUGGUCGAGUCGGCCUGCGCGGAAGAUGUAACGGGGCUAAACCAUGCACCGAAGCUGCGGCAGCGACGCUUAUGCGUUGUUGGGUAGGGGAGCGUUCUGUAAGCCGUUGAAGGUGUGCUGUGAGGCAUGCUGGAGGUAUCAGAAGUGCGAAUGCUGACAUAAGUAACGAUAAAGCGGGUGAAAAGCCCGCUCGCCGGAAGACCAAGGGUUCCUGUCCAACGUUAAUCGGGGCAGGGUGAGUCGACCCCUAAGGCGAGGCCGAAAGGCGUAGUCGAUGGGAAACAGGUUAAUAUUCCUGUACUUGGUGUUACUGCGAAGGGGGGACGGAGAAGGCUAUGUUAGCCGGGCGACGGUUGUCCCGGUUUAAGCAUGUAGGCGGAGGUUCCAGGUAAAUCCGGUACCUUAUUAACGCUGAGGUGUGAUGACGAGGCACUACGGUGCUGAAGUAACAAAUGCCCUGCUUCCAGGAAAAGCCUCUAAGCAUCAGGUAACAUCAAAUCGUACCCCAAACCGACACAGGUGGUCAGGUAGAGAAUACCAAGGCGCUUGAGAGAACUCGGGUGAAGGAACUAGGCAAAAUGGUGCCGUAACUUCGGGAGAAGGCACGCUGAUAUGUAGGUGAAGCCCCUGCGGGUGGAGCUGAAAUCAGUCGAAGAUACCAGCUGGCUGCAACUGUUUAUUAAAAACACAGCACUGUGCAAACACGAAAGUGGACGUAUACGGUGUGACGCCUGCCCGGUGCCGGAAGGUUAAUUGAUGGGGUUAGCGGCAACGCGAAGCUCUUGAUCGAAGCCCCGGUAAACGGCGGCCGUAACUAUAACGGUCCUAAGGUAGCGAAAUUCCUUGUCGGGUAAGUUCCGACCUGCACGAAUGGCGUAAUGAUGGCCAGGCUGUCUCCACCCGAGACUCAGUGAAAUUGAACUCGCUGUGAAGAUGCAGUGUACCCGCGGCAAGACGGAAAGACCCCGUGAACCUUUACUAUAGCUUGACACUGAACACUGGUCCUUGAUGUGUAGGAUAGGUGGGAGGCUUUGAAGCGUGGACGCCAGUCUGCGUGGAGCCGACCUUGAAAUACCACCCUUUAAUGGCUGGUGUUCUAACGUAGACCCGUGAUCCGGGUUGCGGACAGUGUCUGGUGGGUAGUUUGACUGGGGCGGUCUCCUCCCAAAGAGUAACGGAGGAGCACGAAGGUUAGCUAAUCCUGGUCGGACAUCAGGAGGUUAGUGCAAUGGCAUAAGCUAGCUUGACUGCGAGAGUGACGGCUCGAGCAGGUGCGAAAGCAGGUCAUAGUGAUCCGGUGGUUCUGAAUGGAAGGGCCAUCGCUCAACGGAUAAAAGGUACUCCGGGGAUAACAGGCUGAUACCGCCCAAGAGUUCAUAUCGACGGCGGUGUUUGGCACCUCGAUGUCGGCUCAUCACAUCCUGGGGCUGAAGUAGGUCCCAAGGGUAUGGCUGUUCGCCAUUUAAAGUGGUACGCGAGCUGGGUUUAGAACGUCGUGAGACAGUUCGGUCCCUAUCUGCCGUGGGCGCUGGAGAAUUGAGGGGGGCUGCUCCUAGUACGAGAGGACCGGAGUGGACGCAUCACUGGUGUUCGGGUUGUCAUGCCAAUGGCACUGCCCGGUAGCUAAAUGCGGAAAAGAUAAGUGCUGAAAGCAUCUAAGCACGAAACUUGCCCCGAGAUGAGUUCUCCCUGACUCCUUGAGAGUCCUGAAGGAACGUUGAAGACUACGACGUUGAUAGGUCGGGUGUGUAAGCGCAGCGAUGCGUUGAGCUAACCGAUACUAAUGAACCGUGAGGCUUAACCUU